GACAGAGGGUGCAAACGUUGUUCGGAAUUACUGGGCGUGAAGCGCGUGUAGGCGGCUAAGUAAGUCGGGCGUGAAAUCCCACGGCUCAACCGUGGAAGUGCACUCGAAACUGCAUAGCUAGAGUCCUGGAGAGGAAGGUGGAAUGCUUGGUGUAGAGGUGAAAUUCGUAGAUAUCAAGCGGACCCCCGGUGCGAAGGCGGCCUUCUGGACAGUGACUGACGCUGAGACGCGAAAGCGUGGGGAGCGAACAGG
This 252-nucleotide ribosomal RNA is filed under the name uncultured bacterium. Its description in RNAcentral is "partial 16S ribosomal RNA". It matches the Rfam family "Bacterial small subunit ribosomal RNA", at positions 524 to 776 of the family's 1533-position model. The record is from RNAcentral.